Molecule: non-coding RNA, 50 nt
Filed under: Prorocentrum micans
Lineage: Eukaryota; Dinophyceae; Prorocentrales; Prorocentraceae
Source: RNAcentral
AGUCGCAGGAUGUAAAAAAAAAAAAAAAAAAAAAAAAAAAACAAUGUAAA